Molecule: ribosomal RNA, 254 nt
Filed under: uncultured bacterium
Lineage: Bacteria
Description: partial 16S ribosomal RNA
Rfam family: Bacterial small subunit ribosomal RNA
Source: RNAcentral
CACGUAGGGUGCGAGCGUUGUCCGGAAUUAUUGGGCGUAAAGAGCUCGUAGGCGGUGUGUCGCGUCGGCCGUGAAAACCUGCAGCUUAACUGUGGGCUUGCGGUCGAUACGAGCAUCACUGGAGUUCGGCAGGGGAGACUGGAAUUCCUGGUGUAGCGGUGAAAUGCGCAGAUAUCAGGAGGAACACCGGUGGCGAAGGCGGGUCUCUGGGCCGAUACUGACGCUGAGGAGCGAAAGCGUGGGGAGCGAACAGG